This 73-nucleotide ribosomal RNA is filed under the name Phocaeicola vulgatus. RNAcentral describes it as "Bacteroides vulgatus partial 23S ribosomal RNA". Lineage: Bacteria; Pseudomonadati; Bacteroidota; Bacteroidia; Bacteroidales; Bacteroidaceae. The record is from RNAcentral.
CGUUGAUAGGAUGCAGGUGUAAAGGUAGAGAUACCAAAGCCGAGCAUUACUAAUUGCCCGUCCACUUUCCUUA